AAUGCGCCCACAGGGCUAAUUUUCUGAUUAACAACCGUCGUGUCGGUAACGAGUUAUCUGAACCUUUUGGGAACGAUAACGGCGUCGAGCGGCGGACGGGUGAGUAAUGCCUAGGAAAUUGCCCUGAUGUGGGGGAUAACCAUUGGAAACGAUGGCUAAUACCGCAUAAUGCCUACGGGCCAAAGAGGGGGACCUUCGGGCCUCUCGCGUCAGGAUAUGCCUAGGUGGGAUUAGCUAGUUGGUGAGGUAAUGUUUCACCAAGGCGCCCAUCCCUAGCUGGUCUGAGAGGAUGAUCAGCCACACUGGAACUGAGACACGGUCCAGACUCCUACGGGAGGCAGCAGCGGGGAAUAUUGCACAAUGGGCGCACGGCCUGAUGCAGCCAUGCCGCCG
This 393-nucleotide ribosomal RNA is filed under the name Vibrionaceae bacterium fug-3-10-08. RNAcentral's name for it is "bacterial SSU rRNA". It matches the Rfam family "Bacterial small subunit ribosomal RNA", at positions 70 to 400 of the family's 1533-position model. The record is from RNAcentral. Lineage: Bacteria; Pseudomonadati; Pseudomonadota; Gammaproteobacteria; Vibrionales; Vibrionaceae.